Molecule: ribosomal RNA, 813 nt
Filed under: uncultured bacterium
Lineage: Bacteria
Description: bacterial SSU rRNA
Rfam family: Bacterial small subunit ribosomal RNA
Source: RNAcentral
GAUGAACGCUAGCGGUAGGCCUAACACAUGCAAGUCGAACGGUAACAUGAGAGCUUGCUCUUGAUGACGAGUGGCGAACGGGUGCGUAACACGUAUGCAACUUACCCUCUACUGGGGAAUAGCCCAGAGAAAUCUGGAUUAAUACCCCAUAAUAUCAGCGAAUCGCAUGAUUUCCUGAUUAAAACUCCGGUGGUAGAGGAUAGGCAUGCGCCCCAUUAGUUUGUUGGUGAGGCAACGGCUCACCAAGACUACGAUGGGUAGGGGUUCUGAGAGGAUGAUCCCCCACACUGGUACUGAGACACGGACCAGACUCCUACGGGAGGCAGCAGUGAGGAAUAUUGGUCAAUGGACGAAAGUCUGAACCAGCCAUACCGCGUGCAGGAAGACGGCCCUAUGGGUUGUAAACUGCUUUUGUUUGCCAAGAAACCUCCCCACGUGAGGGGAGCUGACGGUAGCAUUCGAAUAAGGACCGGCUAACUCCGUGCCAGCAGCCGCGGUAAUACGGAGGGUCCAAGCGUUAUCCGGAUUUAUUGGGUUUAAAGGGUUCGUAGGCGGAAAGAUAAGUCAGUGGUGAAAGCCUGUGGCUCAACCAUAGNAUUGCCAUUGAUACUGUCUUUCUUGAGUACAAAUGAAGUGGGCGGAAUGUGUCGUGUAGCGGUGAAAUGCUUAGAUAUGACACAGAACACCGAUUGCGAAGGCAGCUCACUAAAUUGUUACUGACGCUGAGGAACGAAAGCGUGGGGAGCGAACAGGAUUAGAUACCUGGUAGUCCACGCCGUAAACGAUGAUCACUCGAUAUUGGCGAUAUAAUGU